Molecule: small nuclear RNA, 36 nt
Filed under: Cervus elaphus hippelaphus
Lineage: Eukaryota; Metazoa; Chordata; Mammalia; Artiodactyla; Cervidae
Source: RNAcentral
GUGCUCACUUUGGCAGCACAUAUACUAACAGUGAAA